This 28-nucleotide small RNA is filed under the name Bombyx mori (domestic silkworm). RNAcentral describes it as "ovarian small RNA-21736". The record is from RNAcentral. Lineage: Eukaryota; Metazoa; Arthropoda; Insecta; Lepidoptera; Bombycidae.
UAGAAAAGUUAUUUUCUGAGCAUCGAUA